RNAcentral lists this transfer RNA (74 nucleotides) under Gammaproteobacteria bacterium. Its description in RNAcentral is "tRNA-Ile". It matches the Rfam family "tRNA". From Rfam's summary of the family: Transfer RNA (tRNA) molecules are approximately 80 nucleotides in length. Their secondary structure includes four short double-helical elements and three loops (D, anti-codon, and T loops). Further hydrogen bonds mediate the characteristic L-shaped molecular structure. tRNAs have two regions of fundamental functional importance: the anti-codon, which is responsible for specific mRNA codon recognition, and the 3' end, to which the tRNAs corresponding amino acid is attached (by aminoacyl-tRNA synthetases). tRNAs cope with the degeneracy of the genetic code in two manners: having more than one tRNA (with a specific anti-codon) for a particular amino acid; and 'wobble' base-pairing, i.e. permitting non-standard base-pairing at the 3rd anti-codon position. Lineage: Bacteria; Pseudomonadati; Pseudomonadota; Gammaproteobacteria. The record is from RNAcentral. RNAcentral also lists the same sequence under 3 other names.
GGGCCUGUAGCUCAGUUGGUUAGAGCAGUGGACUCAUAAUCCAUUGGUCGCAGGUUCGAGUCCUGCCGGGCCCA